Long non-coding RNA from Mirounga angustirostris (Northern elephant seal), 2488 nucleotides. RefSeq lists it as uncharacterized. Lineage: Eukaryota; Metazoa; Chordata; Mammalia; Carnivora; Phocidae. The transcript is spliced from 2 exons. The record is from RefSeq and is a predicted model, not a curated record.
AUACGUGGAAUUUAAUAAACAAAACAAAUAAGCAAAGGGAAAAAAUAGAGAAAAAAAAAAGAAACAGACUCUUAACUCUAGAGGAACAAACUGAUGGUUCCUAGAGUGAGGUUGGAGGGGCAAUGGAUAAAAUAGGUGACAGGGAUUAAGGAGUGCACUUGAGAUGAGCAUUGGGUGAUGUAUGGAAAUGUUGAAUCACUAUGCUGUAUAUCUGACACUAAGAUAACACUCUGUGUCAAUUAUAUUACCUCAUUAACAUAUAGCUGUCAUAAUAAUGAUGUGUAAGAACAGUAAAUUAACUAUGCUUUGUUACAUUUACUUUUUUUAAGAUUUUUAUUUAUUUAUUUAUUUAUUUAUUUAUUUAUUUAUUUAUUUAUUUGAGAGAGAGUCAGAGAGCAUGAGCGGGGGAAGAGCAGAGGAAGAGGGACAAGCAGAUUCCAAGCUGAGCAUGGAGCCUGAUAGGGGGCUGAUCCCAUGACCCUGAGAUCAUGACCUGAGCUGAAAUCAAGGGUCAGAAGCUCAACCUGCUGCCACUCAGGUGCCCCUUGUUACUUUUACUUUCAUAUUUAGUUUAUCAAUAAUCAUUUAAUUGACUUAUGAAACUAUCAGGAAAAAGAAGCAUAAUCGCUCAUAUAAAACAAUUCCAUCUUCUUAUCUGCCUCUCUGUAGUAGGCUGUCUGUGGGAUAAGAAGGUUCAUUCGUUGACUCCACAAACACCCAGGAGACACUCCAUGCUGCAGCAAGUGAGGUCAGCCUAGUGGCCUUCUCUAACGCUGGUAUCUAAUGUAAGAGGCAGACCACACACAGUUCCCUGAACAGACAAUAUGCUCUCAGGCUUUGAAAAAUGGGAAUAAAAUAUGCUAAGAACAGAAGGUAUAAUGGGGAAGGGCUCAGAAAGGCAGGAUUUUUUUUCUUUAACAAAUGUUUCAUCUCACUUUCUUUAAUCCAUCUGAAAUAGACUAUCUCCCUUCUCUCUCUGACACCAGGAUUUUUUCUGCUCUAUCCUGAGGAAUGCCUGUCUGUCUCAAUGCCCCCACCCCUCUCCACACAAACAGUUUCCUCCUGUUCCCUUCAUUUCCCUCCCCAGCUGUCCUCUGGGAAUAUGGCAGCCCAUGUCACCCAUCAAAGACUAGCUAUUUUCUCCUCCAGAAGCUACAUGGCACAGGAUUCCAAUGGGAUCUUCCAGAAAGAAUGCAGGACCACACAUCAUCACCUGUAGAUGUAACUCACAGGCCAAAGGAGUGAGAAAAGUGUGCUUCCAGUCCCAAAACUCUGCCAUUGUCAUUGUCUGAAACUGACUUCAUCGGCCACACUCUUCUGACUUCAAAAAGAGCUGUGAAGUGUGUGAUCGUAUGUGGACAGUACUGAACCCAUACAGAUCUAGACAUUCUACUAACAAAGGAUAGAAGAGAUGCUUUAGAGUCACCAUGACGACCAUGGACUGUAGCACCAUGAGGAGGAAUAACCAUGGGAGACAUUUAUGUCAGGAGAGUUGGUAAGAGAUGGUGAUUUUUAUAUGGAGGAGCGCAGGGAUAAAGAAAAGUUGGGAUAACUUUUUUUUUUUUUUUUUUCUGAUUUCUGGCUCGGGCUGUUGUAAAUGGUGGUACCAAUGGUGAUACAUGCUUCAGGAGACUUUGGCAGUUCAUUGUUAGGCACGGUGAAUUUGAUGUCACUGUGAGAGACUACUCACAGGACUCCCUUAAACUGGCAUGGCAGCAACAACGAAUAGAUACAAGUUGGCCAUGCAACAGUUCCUUGGUGUAUGAUUCAGUGUCCCGAAAAGUCAAAAGGACAAACAACAACAAAAAAAGUUAAUUAUAAUGUCAAUUAGCUAGUAUAGAAUGAAAUUCUGAGCAGCUCAGUGGAUUGGUUUCAUAAUAAGGAGCACUGCUUAGCUCUCCACACAUGCCUGUGUUUGUGUAUAUGGGUGGGAAACAAACCACACGCUGUCAUUCAGCAAACUGCAAUUCCACUUCCCCCAGCGAACCUCAUGGACCAAUUUCACCAGGCAGAGUACACAAUCUGCUUCUUUCUCACAACAUCGAAUUCUAUUUCUUUACUCGGUUAUAUGCUCUCAUAUCCUGAAUACUACUCUCUCUUUCUAGAAUAUAGUAGUUUAAAUGCUUAUUUAAAAUAUAAAGUAUGUUGGCUAACUGAACAUAAUGAAAAAUUAAUAAAAAAUAAAACAAAAUAAUUAUAGAAAUACUAAUACUGCAAUUUUAGAAACAAUAAUAAAAACAACAGUAAUAAUCCUUGUCCCUAUGUAACGACUAAGUGCUAAGCUCUGUUCUGCGUGUGCAUGUAUGUACCUGCGUAUGUGCAUGCAUCUCUGUUAUAUACUGUGUUGUCUCUUAGUCUAGAAAAAAAACUUUGAUAAAAAUUCAUUUGAUAAAAAAUUGAUUUGAUAAAAAUUCAUUUCAGAUAAAAUUUCAUGUCUGAUUGAUGUGUUGUAUAAUAAGACAAUAUAAAAUAUUUCAAAGAUACUGUA